Drosophila novamexicana is the source of this 510-nucleotide long non-coding RNA. RefSeq lists it as uncharacterized. NCBI's taxonomy places the organism in Eukaryota, Metazoa, Arthropoda, Insecta, Diptera, Drosophilidae. The record is from RefSeq and is a predicted model, not a curated record. The transcript is spliced from 2 exons.
CAACAAUUUGUUUGCAACUUUUGAAAAGCUUUCAAUGCCAGUGUCAAACCUAUCUUAAGUUCAGUCGAAAACUGGACAAUUGGCAUUGGGCAAGUUCAACGCCAGGUAGCUGAAUAAAGUAAAUCAAUUUUCGGCUUUAUCUAGAAGGAGUCUGUUGUCAGAUAACGUAUCGUAUAUAAACCGUACAAUCGUGUCGGCUAGAACGCAAUUGCCGGGCCGACGUUAAUUAAACUAUGUCCACAUUGGGAAUUAAAUCAUUUGAGAAUAUACGAGGAAGGGACAGAAACCUGUUUCCAAGCUGUAAAUAUGAUAUGACAACUAAUGACAGAUGGCUGAAUCUCGACUGUUUCUAUGUGAAGACAAAAGCGUGAAAAUUAUGAAAUUCACGUGGUUUCUGGUUUUUGGAUGUCUGCUGAGGGUAUAUGGAAUAUAUGGGCUCACUUGAGACUCUUAGCUUUGACACUUGAUUUGUCGAAUUCUUCUUAAUUUCAAAUUAAAUAUAACAUUUUA